AUACGUAGGGGGCUAGCGUUAUCCGGAAUUACUGGGCGUAAAGGGUGCGUAGGUGUUUCUUAAGUCAGAAGUGAAAGGCUACGGCUCAACCGUAGUAAGCUUUUGAAACUAAGAGACUUGAGUGCAGGAGAGGAGAGUAGAAUUCCUAGUGUAGCGGUGAAAUGCGUAGAUAUUAGGAGGAAUACCAGUUGCGAAGGCGGCUCUCUGGACUGUAACUGACACUGAGGCACGAAAGCGUGGGGAGCAAACAGGAUUAGAUACCCUGGUAGUCCACGCCGUAAACGAUGAGUACUAGCUGUCGGGGGUUACCCCCCUCGGUGGCGCAGCUAACGCAUUAAGUACUCCGCCUGGGAAGUACGCUCGCAAGAGUGAAACUCAAAUGAAUUGACGGGG
This 393-nucleotide ribosomal RNA is filed under the name uncultured bacterium. Its description in RNAcentral is "partial 16S ribosomal RNA". It matches the Rfam family "Bacterial small subunit ribosomal RNA", at positions 523 to 918 of the family's 1533-position model. The record is from RNAcentral.